UUGUUUUCAAACUACCGAUAGUGGAAGCUGAAUCCAAACCAUCGGUACUAUCGAUAGUACCACCGGUAGUUUGACAUCUCUACAACCUGUUUGGACUGAGAAUCUUUAUUGCAGUCAGUUAUUUUUUAUGGCAAACGACAAAAAGAAUUGAAAAAGAAUAAGGAAACCCAAAGACCAAAAAUCGAGAUGACCUCCAGUGGGAUAUCAUGUAGAUGGCCGCUCCUCUAAUCUCCUGUGGUGUCUUUCCACAAAAACCGGUGACCCAAACGAGAAGAACGCACCCGAGCUUGUGAUUCAAGAGCGUUCCAGAGCGGCUAUGCCUAUACACGGUCUUUAACAAUAUAAGAAUAUAUUUGUGUAUGUAUGUAUUUAGUAUCAAUCGAGGUGAAACCAUUCCCUCGUGGCCAAUAGCAUACCCAUAGGGUUUUUACUCUAAGAGUUGGAGCAAUACCAGAAAUUUCAUUCUAUUAUUUCUAUUAUAAAAGGCAAUGUGCAUAUACCAACAACUGGCUUCAUCUCUUUCAAAAAUUAAAAUUUGGAACGUCAACAAGAAUUAACAUUCGACAUAAUCUUUCAUCUUUUUUGGCAUAGCGACAUAAGUCCGCCGCAUAUACCAACAACUGGCUUCAUCUCUUUCAAAAAUUAAAAUUUGGAACGUCAACAAGAAUUAACAUUCGACAUAAUCUUUCAUCUUUUUUGGCAUAGCGACAUAAGUCCGCCGCCACAAUUUCGCCGAGUACAUUUGGUCCGCGAAAUUAUGGCGUUUUUUCCGGCGAUCUUAUGACGCCGAAAAGCGUAAACAUUGUAUUAUGAAAAAUUUUUUUUGGAUUUAAGUCUAGUACUCUGACGUGAAAAGUCCGCUGUCUAAAUUUUGACGGCGGACUUAUGUCGUUACCCUACUUUUUUAUAUAUUAUUCGCGUACGAAAUUGUCUGCAAAAUUUUAAAAACAAUAGGUAGCACAUAAAAGCAAAUUUGUAAGAAAAUAAUUUAAAUUAAAUUAAAUUAAUUAAAUUCAAUUAUAAUUCUUAGAAGACCUGAAGGCGAGCCCUCGGUUCUUUUUUUUCCUAUUUGAGUUGAUUCUCUGGGUCGUCUGACCAAAACAGCAUUAACGCUUGGCAUUAAAGCAUUAAAAAAUCGGUAGAGCUAAGGAAAUUAAUUUGUUAUAUUUAAAUAGAAAAAUCACCUAUUUUUUAAAUAAAAUAUUUGUUUUUCGUAUUCUAGCAUGCAAUCUGCAUAGAAACUUUGACUUUAUAUAUAUAUUUUUUUUUUUUUUUAUAUAUAUUUUUGCCGGAAACGUUUAGUGCCAUCUAAACUUUACCUGGCGUUUAAGAGGUUUAGUAAAAUAUGGUUCAUAUUCCUAUGGACCUAGAUUACUUUAUAUUUUAAGUUAAAAUUUUGAUUGGUUACAAGAAAUAUUUUUUAAAUUGGUUGUGUUGAAAACGAAUGCUCCAAAAUGUUCUAUAACGUUAUAAUAUCAUCAAAAAAGAUAACUAAUAAUGAUUAGAUUUAUUUUCUGGAAUAAAUGAAAAAAAAAAAAAAAUUUGUACAAUACGUUGUGUAUUUGAGACUGUGUAUUUACUUAACAUAAAGGUAAAUAAAAUUAUAUGAAUUAAUAAUUAAUAAAAAUGUAAAAUAUAAGGAAGUUACGCGCUACAUCUGUGUAAGGGAAAUAAACUCAAUGCUUAUCUUUAAGAAAAUUAAGUGAUACUCUAUGAUAUUUUAUAAAAAUAAAAUUAUUUCUUAGUUUUUAAACAAAUUAAUCAAAUAUCACAUUUUUAUGUCACUUGUAAAAAUAUUCCAAAUCAAUUUUUCUGUUCUUACGAAUCAAAUCUGAAAUAGAUAUUUAUAGAGAAUAGAGAAAAUGAUUUCAGCAUAUAAAAAAAUCUUCAAUGUAAUAUGGAUGUCUAUGUAAUAUCUAAUAAUUUGUCAAUUCUGUUAUGAGUUGAAUUACAUAAUUUUGUCAAAAGUA
This is a non-coding RNA of Drosophila kikkawai, 1970 nucleotides long. The record is from RefSeq and is a predicted model, not a curated record. Lineage: Eukaryota; Metazoa; Arthropoda; Insecta; Diptera; Drosophilidae.